GAGUUGAGUUACUAAGGUGUUUUCCGGA
This 28-nucleotide non-coding RNA is filed under the name Rattus norvegicus (Norway rat). The record is from RNAcentral. Lineage: Eukaryota; Metazoa; Chordata; Mammalia; Rodentia; Muridae.